This 266-nucleotide transfer-messenger RNA is filed under the name Streptococcus pneumoniae PNI0076. RNAcentral's name for it is "transfer-messenger RNA Strep_pneum_R6". It matches the Rfam family "transfer-messenger RNA", at positions 93 to 374 of the family's 374-position model. From Rfam's summary of the family: Bacterial tmRNA, also known as 10Sa RNA or SsrA, is named for its dual tRNA and mRNA-like properties. The record is from RNAcentral. Lineage: Bacteria; Bacillati; Bacillota; Bacilli; Lactobacillales; Streptococcaceae.
GCAAAAAAUAACACUUCUUACGCUCUAGCUGCCUAAAAACCAGCAGGCGUGACCCGAUUUGGAUUGCUCGUGUUCAAUGACAGGUCUUAUUAUUAGCGAGAUACGAUUAAGCCUUGUCUAGCGGCUUGAUAAGAGAUUGAUAGACUCGCAGUUUCUAGACUUGAGUUAUGUGUCGAGGGGCUGUUAAAAUAAUACAUAACCUAUGGUUGUAGACAAAUAUGUUGGCAGGUGUUUGGACGUGGGUUCGACUCCCACCGGCUCCAUUA